RNAcentral lists this ribosomal RNA (404 nucleotides) under Mantheyus phuwuanensis. Its description in RNAcentral is "16S ribosomal RNA". It matches the Rfam family "Bacterial large subunit ribosomal RNA", at positions 1970 to 2594 of the family's 2925-position model. The record is from RNAcentral. Lineage: Eukaryota; Metazoa; Chordata; Lepidosauria; Squamata; Agamidae.
UGUCCUCCAAAUAAGGACCAGUAUGAAUGGCAACAUGAGAAAGAAACUGUCUCUUAAGGCCAGCCAAUGAACCUGAUCUGCUUGUAAAAAAGCAAGCAUAUUAAAACAAGACAAAAAGACCCUGUGAAACUUCAAAUAUUCGUCAAAAUAAUUACCAAAAUAUUUUUAGUUGGGGCAACUCAGGAGUAAACCAAUCCUCCUCAUCAACCAAGGCCAACAAGCCAAAGUAGCCAACACCACCAGAUCCAGUAAAACUGACCAAAGAACCAAGCUACUCCAGGGAUAACAGCGCCACAUUCUUUAAGAGUCCAUAUCAACAAGAAUACCUACGACCUCGAUGUUGGAUCAGGAUAUCCUAAUGGCGCAGAAGCUAUUAAGGGUUCGUUUGUUCCAACGACUAACAU